This 396-nucleotide ribosomal RNA is filed under the name Solatopupa juliana. RNAcentral describes it as "partial 12S ribosomal RNA". The record is from RNAcentral. Lineage: Eukaryota; Metazoa; Mollusca; Gastropoda; Stylommatophora; Chondrinidae.
UGGGAUUUAGAUACCCCACUAUCCUAAAAUAAUAAACUCCUUGGGGCAGUAAAACUUAUCAUAGUUUAAACCUAAACAAUAUGGCGGCUAUUUAAACUUUAUUAGGGGAACUUACCACAUAAUUGAUAACCACCAAGUGGUCAUACUUAAUUUAUUAAUAGUAUGUAUAUCGUCGUUGUCAAGACCGCUCCUAGAGAGGUUUUUAAUAUUUUAAAUAAAAAGACAGAUCAAGAUGCAGCUAAUAUUUAAGAGUUAAGGUGAGUUACAAUAAGGAUUUCUUUAAUUUACGGAUAUAAAUUUUAAUAGUUUAUUAACAAGGUGGACUUAAAAGUAAUAAUUAAUAAAAAUAUAGCAUGAAUUAUAUAUUAAAUAGUGUACACACCGCCCCGUCACCCU